AGCUAGAAGAUGAAAGUCAGCUGAAACUAGAGGAGCAGAUGCAAGCCAAGCCCUGAAUUUAGAAAUAUCCCUGGUUACCUGCGAACAUACAGGGUGUCUGCCAAGGUGAUAGCUACCAGAGACCCCAGCCCACUCACUACCCAAUACCUGCUGCAGGUGCCCGCUCUCAGGCCUCACCCUCCAGAGACUUCAGACCAUCUGUGCCGGUCUUAAAGCAACAAGCUCCUGCUCUCCCAUCAGCCUCUGGAUCACAGACACCAAGCACAGCAGGCCAGGCAACCAGGGCCAAUCUGAGGAAAAGGCACCAUCCUCUCCUUCACAGCUUUCCUGGCUGACGGGGCCUCAGGCUAUUUCCAGGGCUCAGAAGAAUCUGCAAAAUUCUGCAGCUGAAAAUUUUUCAUCUUGCUUGCCAGAAGCAGGGGAAGGAAAAGUGCUGUGACUCAGAACAGAGGUCACAGGCUUUGGGUUGCCCCAGCCCCAGCAAGAGCCUAAACACCAAGAUUGCUGAUGCACUUCCACAACUACAUAGGGACCUAGAACUACACAGGGACCCACAGCGGCCUUGCUGCUGAAGGUGCUGCCUCUGCCAGACACAAAAGACUUUUUAUAAAGACAAAGGGUGGGUCUGCUAAUUCCAAAGUGCUUGACUCAGAGAAAUCCAUGCCUGCUGAUAUUCUGCCUGACUUGCAAUGCUCCAAAUGCUAUCUCAGUGUAUCCAUGCUUCUCUUCUGGCAAGAAGGGCAAACUUAAAGCAAAAGAAGAUCAGAUAUGAAAGGGUUAUCUUUGCCACAGUCAAAGUACCUUUUCUAAAGCAGAAGUGUCCUCUUGGUCCAGUGUUCAUUUUCACAGUUCUAAGUUCUAGAUUAAAGGCAUCAAUUUCCUCUGUUCCUAACUGAAUUGCGGCAUUCUACACCACAUUUACUGAGAAUGACUCUCCCUGGUGACUUGGCACACAACUCCUUGGGACACAAGGAAUGAGCCUGGCCCUGGCAUCGACGGACUGAAAGUACCUUCUUGACCAACAGGGGGAAAGAAAGCUGCUGUGAAACGGGAACACUGUGGUAAGAGCAUCUUGGUAAUCACACUCUG
Choloepus didactylus (southern two-toed sloth) is the source of this 1089-nucleotide long non-coding RNA. RefSeq lists it as uncharacterized. The record is from RefSeq and is a predicted model, not a curated record. Lineage: Eukaryota; Metazoa; Chordata; Mammalia; Pilosa; Megalonychidae. The transcript has 4 exons.